Molecule: ribosomal RNA, 542 nt
Filed under: uncultured bacterium
Lineage: Bacteria
Description: bacterial SSU rRNA
Rfam family: Bacterial small subunit ribosomal RNA
Source: RNAcentral
AAUAGAUACCCAGGUAGUCCACGCCGUAAACGUUGGAUACUAGGUGUGGCGGUCUUACCAACGACUGCCGUGCCGAAGCUAACGCAUUAAGUAUCCCGCCUGGGGAGUACGGCCGCAAGGCUAAAACUCAAAGGAAUUGACGGGUCCCCGCACAAGCGGCGGAGCAUGCGGCUUAAUUCGAUGCAACCCGAAGAACCUUACCUGGGUUUGACAUCACGGGAAAAGCUGUAGAAAUACAGUGUCCAUUAGGGCCCGUGACAGGUGGUGCAUGGCUGUCGUCAGCUCGUGUCGUGAGAUGUUGGGUUAAGUCCCGCAACGAGCGCAACCCUUGUCCUAUGUUGCCAGCGGUUCGGCCGGGGACUCAUAGGAGACUGCCGGGGAUAACUCGGAGGAAGGUGAGGACGACGUCAAGUCAUCAUGCCCCUUAUAUCCAGGGCUGCACGCAUGCUACAAUGGCCGGUACAACGGGCAGCGACCCCGCGAGGGUGAGCGAAUCCUAAAAAGCCGGUCCUAGUUCGGAUUGAAGUCUGCAACUCGACUUC